Molecule: ribosomal RNA, 253 nt
Filed under: uncultured bacterium
Lineage: Bacteria
Description: partial 16S ribosomal RNA
Rfam family: Bacterial small subunit ribosomal RNA
Source: RNAcentral
UACGAAGGGGGCUAGCGUUGUUCGGAAUUACUGGGCGUAAAGCGCGCGCAGGCGGUCUUGUAAGUCAGAGGUGAAAUCCCUGGGCUCAACCCAGGAACUGCCUUUGAGACUGCGAGGCUUGAGGACGGGAGAGGUGAGUGGAAUUCCCAGUGUAGAGGUGAAAUUCGUAGAUAUUGGGAAGAACACCAGUGGCGAAGGCGGCUCACUGGCCCGUUUCUGACGCUGAGGCGCGAAAGCGUGGGGAGCAAACAGG